CGUCAGGACAGCUCAGCUUCACUGCUCUUUGGUCCCACCUCCAGGACUAAUCCAGGGCUUCUUGGUUAGUAGGAGUCAGAUUCUCUGAGGUCUCUGGCAGACCCAGCCACGUCAGCAUCUGUGACUCUCAGUAAACUCAGAACCUGUGCUGAAGCGGACAGUGGGUUCAAUCCUUCUAUGAAGCGCUCACAAGGGAUGAACGAUGGCUCCUGGUAAAACUGGUGACCCCUGGAUUUGUCUCCAUAUCUUAGCAAUCUGUUCUGUAGUUCAUCAAAGAAACGAUUAUUAAGAAAUGUUUGAAGAGAGGGAGACAGGCUUCAGGCGUGUGUGAGAGAGGCAGAGCAAGACAAAGGCGGGAGAGAAGGUAAGGCUCUUUGACUUUCACCUUGUCUUUCAUACUCAGAAGCAUCUCAGUCUGCACUUCCUUUGCUAUUCUAUUGUCCAAGAUAUCUCAGCCCCUGGCAGAGCCUGAGUCAAAGAUAACUCAUGCAUUAGGAUUCACCAGGGAUCC
RNAcentral lists this long non-coding RNA (511 nucleotides) under Papio anubis (olive baboon). Its description in RNAcentral is "lncRNA (ENSPANG00000046097.1)". Lineage: Eukaryota; Metazoa; Chordata; Mammalia; Primates; Cercopithecidae. The record is from RNAcentral.